Long non-coding RNA from Daucus carota subsp. sativus, 802 nucleotides. RefSeq lists it as uncharacterized. The record is from RefSeq and is a predicted model, not a curated record. The transcript is spliced from 2 exons. Lineage: Eukaryota; Viridiplantae; Streptophyta; Magnoliopsida; Apiales; Apiaceae.
UUUAUGCAAUUAUAGAGUCUAUGGGUAAAUCGUAAAUAUAUGUGUUGGGUUUUAAUAAAGUUUCAAUAUUGUGUAUGUUUAGGUUGCAUAGGGUUGAGUUCUUGAUUAGUUGCAUCGAGAGAAGGGGAAAAAUCAAGAUUCUUGGGGGUGAGUUUGAUUUUGAGAUUAAGGGGUUGUUUGCCAAAUGUUUUUUUUUAAAUGCUUGUCAUAUUGCUGCGUUUAACUCAUCUGAGUUGUGUUGGAAAUAUGGUGAAGCUGCGAGAAAGGAGAAAGAGGAUGAGGAGGAAAUUGAGUAUGAUUCCGACGGAUUAUGACCAGCUACACUUGAUCCCGUGGAUAUCAUAGGCCUCCUACGGCUUGUUGAUGAAUUAACAGGACUUGCGUUGAUGGAAGCUGGGGAGUUGGAUUCGAUUGUGAUGAAGAAGAUGGUAUGAAGGAACCCCCGGUUGUUGGUAUGAUGAAAGCAGGUUCUGUAUUGGGUGGUAUGGGUGCAGUGAAGGGAGCACUAGGAGCGAAGGAGGAUGCGAUGCUGGAGAAAACUGCGUUUGAACUGAUGUUGGAUGCACCUGGAAAGAUUAAAGAGUUGGUGGAGAAGAUUCCUGCAGUGUUUAAGAAGAGCUUUUCUAAAGAAGAAGCAGAACAAAUAAUCAUGAAGAUGAAAGCUCUUGGUGCCAAAGUUGUCAUGAAGUGAACUCCAAAUUAAUCAGGGGCACCUGUUUGCACCAUGCUUCUUGAUAUUUGGCUUGCAAAGACAAAGAAUUUUGGAUACUCUAACAGGGUGUCUCCACCAAGAACUCAUGUA